This is a long non-coding RNA of Limanda limanda (common dab), 1539 nucleotides long. RefSeq lists it as uncharacterized. The transcript is spliced from 5 exons. Lineage: Eukaryota; Metazoa; Chordata; Actinopteri; Pleuronectiformes; Pleuronectidae. The record is from RefSeq and is a predicted model, not a curated record.
GCAGAUGUCCGCUAACACUGAGCCUGAGUGAUUGCUUGUUGUGGGAACUGUUGAGAUUCUCCCGAAUCUUUGGAGAUGAGGAGUGGAUGCCUCAUCUGCAUAGCUUUGCUGCUGUAGGAGUCCAGCCUUCUGGGGCAGGACACAGGCCGGCACCACACCAGGGGAUGGAUAGUAGCCCCAAAAUGGAGAAGCAAGGUUCAGGGGACAUCACACCUGAUCUCUUGUGAACCACCUCAAAGACGUCCACAUGCAUGAAGAAUAUCCACUGAAACCAACAGUGGUUGUAGCCAGUCUGAAAAAUUCAGGUUCAAAAUGACUUCAAAGGAUCCUGAAGGAUGUGGAGAAGUUGAGCCCGCACCACCAGACUUUGGAGUCGUUUCACAAUGUUGUCCUACGGUUUGCCUCAAAUAAUUUAUUGAGUUGAUUUGCCCUGCAAGGGCCCUAUGUUUGAUUGACCUGCUGUGCAAAGUCUCAGUUCGGUAAUUUACACGGAUUUCUUUGUUUUUCACGUUUUACCUGUCUGCAAUGCACAUCAAUGAAAAUGCUGAUCACCCUAAAGCAGCAGCUUUUCAGGGAAUAUCUGAAGGCAAAGAAGGGGCACUGCGCAGCAUAGUCAGGGAGAACAGGGCCAACAUAAAGUUACAUCCAGAAAAUGAUGGAGGUCCUGUUUGACCAAGUAUUUAAAGACUCUGCACCAAACGUUUAGAAGAGGUCAUCGCUGGCUGUGUGAGUCGUUUCAGCCGAGGGGCGGUCGAAAGCCAACGUAACUGCUGCCAUCAUCAGGGAACUCCUCGUGUAUGUGAAUACAAUAGGGCAGCCAUUCCCAAACUUAAGAAGGCCCACCCACACCUUUAAUCACAAAUAUAUGAUCCACACACAGGACUAGAAUCAUACAUAUUAUUAAUUUGAUAGCAAAAAUAAUUGUAUAUGAAUGCAGGCAUAUGCAGUGCAAAUACCAAUAACAUCCACAUUUAAGCGUAACGAUUUGCAAAGCAAACAAUGUAAAAAAAAAACAUUAAGUGCAAAUAGGGUAUUGUUAAAAUAUAUUUUUACUGUUUGUAGAACAGAUCACGACAAGGAUAUCCGGGAGAAGACAAACGUAUUUGAGGCAUAACCAAAUAUACUUGAGGCGUUUCAGCCCCUCCCCCCCCCCAAAAAAAAACAUGGGUCUUGUUAUCUAACAUCUAAGCGCACAGCACACACAGGCUUGGGGCUCGUCCUCUGGGCCUGCAACUGAUCCUCACUUGAGUCCUUUCUGCGAGUCCUCUUUUUAGUUUUGAAUGAUUCAGUUUGACUUUCUGAUUCCCCAUCGUCAUUAGCAGCUUUCCUCUGCUCCAUCUUGCUCGACCCAGCACACAACAAAGUUCUCCCUCACCUAUGAUUCCCCACUAAUGAUGCGUUCAAGUGUUAAUGUGACGGUCAGCAAAUACAACACCUGCUAAAUAGGUCAAAUAAAAUAAGGACAAUAUGGAAUUUGAUUCUCAUGUCUUUGUUUCAUUACCUGUGAUAUAACUUUGUUUUGAAUCAAUCAUAAAUGUU